GCUAAUACCGGAUAACAACACUAGACGCAUGUCUAGAGUUUAAAAGAUGGUUCUGCUAUCACUCUUGGAUGGACCUGCGGUGCAUUAGCUAGUUGGUAAGGUAACGGCUUACCAAGGCAAUGAUGCAUAGCCGAGUUGAGAGACUGAUCGGCCACAUUGGGACUGAGACACGGUCCAAACUCCUACGGGAGGCAGCAGCC
RNAcentral lists this ribosomal RNA (200 nucleotides) under uncultured bacterium. RNAcentral describes it as "partial 16S ribosomal RNA". It matches the Rfam family "Bacterial small subunit ribosomal RNA", at positions 162 to 355 of the family's 1533-position model. The record is from RNAcentral.